Molecule: non-coding RNA, 157 nt
Organism: Pelobates cultripes (western spadefoot toad)
Lineage: Eukaryota; Metazoa; Chordata; Amphibia; Anura; Pelobatidae
Source: the annotation of a GenBank genome assembly
GCAGACACAUUCCAGCCAAUCAGCAGCAGACCCUCCCUCCCAGACCCUCCCACCUCCUGGACAGCAUCCAUUUUGAAGCUGCAUUCUUAGUGAGCUGUCCAGGAGGUGGGAGGGUCUGGGAGGGAGGGUCUGCUGCUGAUUGGCUGGAAUGUGUCUG